This 495-nucleotide long non-coding RNA is filed under the name Scophthalmus maximus (turbot). RNAcentral describes it as "lncRNA (ENSSMAG00000027959.1)". Lineage: Eukaryota; Metazoa; Chordata; Actinopteri; Pleuronectiformes; Scophthalmidae. The record is from RNAcentral.
CUCAUUAGCUUACGGUGUUCAUUAUUAUUAUUAGCACUCAUUAGCAAAGUGAACGGACUCUUAGCCACCGCGUGGCUAACUCGGCUUGCUCCGAAGGCUUUAGCUCGUCGUUGUCGACGUGGAAACCUCGAGGGAUUGCGAGACUGCCCAGUUAACGCUGAGAGCUUCCUCUGCUUCGCGGGAGAGACCACACGCCAUCCCUGGACAUCGGUCCGCCACCUUGAUCUUCGUCACGGGAGACCUGAGGGACUGGUGACGUCAUCAGCUGCCGAGGCCACGCGCCGUCUCCGGACACCUGCCUGCGUCUCGUUCUUCAUCCGGGGGACCAAGUCACAUUUUACAAGCUGAAUUCCCCCCUCCUCAACAAUUGGACUGCAUCAGUUCCUGCUAUCUCCCCGCUCGAAGAAGGUGGCAAGUGAGCUGAGAAGGGGCCAGCCUGUGCAGGGGCAUUUGGAUGGGGGAAGGGCAUGUCUGCUGGCAACGAGGGUGAGUAGA